CACGUAGGGGCGAGCGUUGUCCGGAAUUAUUGGGCGUAAAGAGCGCGCAGGUGGUUGAUUAAGUCUGAUGUGAAAGCCCACGGCUUAACCGUGGAGGGUCAUUGGAAACUGGUCGACUUGAGUGCAGAAGAGGGAAGUGGAAUUCCAUGUGUAGCGGUGAAAUGCGUAGAUAUUAGGAGGAACACCGGUGGCGAAGGCGGCUUACUGGACUGUAACUGACGCUGAGGCGCGAAAGCGUGGGGAGCAAACAGGAUUAGAUACCCUGGUAGU
This 270-nucleotide ribosomal RNA is filed under the name uncultured prokaryote. RNAcentral describes it as "partial 16S ribosomal RNA". It matches the Rfam family "Bacterial small subunit ribosomal RNA", at positions 524 to 794 of the family's 1533-position model. The record is from RNAcentral.